Molecule: long non-coding RNA, 200 nt
Filed under: Lathyrus oleraceus (garden pea)
Lineage: Eukaryota; Viridiplantae; Streptophyta; Magnoliopsida; Fabales; Fabaceae
Description: Pisum sativum (pea) long non-coding RNA (PSAT_LNC002026)
Source: RNAcentral
CAUGAUACGAAAGAUCCAUUAUGAGUUGGUUCAGCAGGUAUCUGGUGCUGAACUUGGUAGGGCGGACUAUGGUCCGAUCCCCCGCAAUUUGCAAUGGACUAAAUAACGAAGUUAUCCGACUUAUGUACCAGAGCUUCUAGCUAAAAGGGGAUCAGAAUCACUAACCGGUCACUCCAUUAUGUGCGUGAAAUGAUAAAGGG